Molecule: long non-coding RNA, 2668 nt
Organism: Paramisgurnus dabryanus
Lineage: Eukaryota; Metazoa; Chordata; Actinopteri; Cypriniformes; Cobitidae
Source: RefSeq, a predicted model, not a curated record
UUAUUCUCUAGGAUAGACCCGAGGUAUUUCACUGACGUUUUUGUACUGACCACAGCAUUUUUAAUAUGACCCUUAAUUCCGAACAUCUUUUCAGUCUGUAUUUUGAACCGAACAAGAUGGCCUCUGUCUUACCAACAUGUAAAGACAGCAUAUUAUCAAUCAGCCAGUUGUUUACAGAGGAUAGUUCUGAACUCAGGGUACUCUCUAGGAUAGAUUGAUACUUAUGAGACAUUAAAAGUGCUGCGUCAUCGGCAUACAGAAAUAGAUCACAUGAAUAGGAAUCUACCAUAUCAUUAAUAUAGGUUAAAAAUAAGGAUGGUCCAAGAAUACUUCCUUGUGGUACGCCGCAUUCUACUACACAAGGAUCCGAAAGCGUUCUCCCCAGGGUCACCAAUUGUUCCCUCCCUGAUAGGUAGGACCUAAACCACCUACAGGUUGAGUUGUCUGCUCCCAUGGCCUCAAGUUUAGCUAUCAAUCUGUCAUGAUUUACCGUGUCGAAAGCCUUGUGAAAUCCAAUAACACCAUUCCGCAGAGAUUUCCACUAUCUAUUUCCCUGCGUAUGGUAUAAAGUAAGCAUGCUUCGGUAGAAUAUGACUUCCUAAAACCAGAUUGGAAUUUAUACAUGAAAUUAUUUUAUUCAUGUAUUCAUUAAAUUGAUCAUUCACUAAUUUUUCAAAAAAUUUUGAGACUGUACAUAGAAUGGAAACCGGAUCGUGGCUGUUCCCUUUUUUGAAAAUGGGAACCACUUUUGUCAAUGUACACCCUAUGACCAGUAUUGUGUUUCAAGCUGUCAGACACAAUUCUUUAAUAAAAUACUUUGAAGAGAAUUUUACAUCUCAACUGUCUCUGAUUCUCCUGAAGAAAAUCCACAACAAUGUGAACAAAUGUAACCUUAUCAGUGCACUGCGUCAAACAUCAUAGGAAAGAGCACCUGUGUCCCUAACCUGCAGGUUGUAGCACAUAAGUGUGUAAGGAGAGAUAUUACAGACAGACACAAAGACUGAUCACAUGAUCAGAUAUGAAGUCUGAUCACAGCUCUGUCUCGUAUCACAGCUUAGACACAGAGUGUGGGUCUGAUCACCGGCCGGCACCAUCGCCACAAGCGUUCUGGCUGUUCAUCUGCUGGUGCUGGUCACGCUCUUCUACUGGAGAAAUUAAAACAAAUAUGAGGAAGAUCCCAAUGAGAUCAGGUGACUCUUCAUCAUCAAAAUCAACUUGAUUGCAUUUGCCAGAUUUGUUUCUGAAAUAAACUCAAAUGACAUCUUGUUAAUUUCAAUGAUCUGAGUCAAUUCCUCAGCUUACCAACGAAUGAAGAAGAACUUGAUAUUACAGAAAAUAUCUGUCAACAACUCGGCAGUGACAAAUUUUUGCAUUUUUUAACAACAAAAUCAAUACUCUUACACAAAAAAUCAUGCAACUGCCUGCUAUGCCAUUACAUCAGAGAGCACACAGUUCACCCAAAGAUCAACAUCAGUUAUUUAAUACAAAAACUAAUACAAUAAUAAUAAUAAUAACAACAUUUUGAUUAAAUUAUUUUCCAAUCUGUUGCAUAUACUGUAAAUGUUCUAUCGUUUGAGAGUAAAACCAAGUAAUACUGUCCUCUAAAUGAUAAUAUAAGUGUGUUCCUGCAAGUUCCUGUCUCAUCUUAAUAUGAAAGAAAUAAGCAAGGUAACUGUAACCCUGGUACCUUCUGUUUCAUUGUUGAUGGCCAUUUGUUUAUGUUUGGACCAAGGGUCUGAGUCAAAUGUGAAUGGUAAGCCUAAGGUGUGAACCCAUUUCUAUGAUAAUGAAAUGGUCCAAGUGAAGUAGUGGGUUAGAUGGUAAUGUUGAUGGGAUAAAGGGUUGGUAAAACUGAAUGAUUGGGAGUGGCAGGGUUACUUCCUUUAAAUGUUUUGAUGUUCAAUGAAUUCAAAGUUGAUUGCUUUGUUUUCCAUUUAGGGGACUGCAUACUAAAAUGUGUAUAAAUGCAAUGUAGGGCUGUAAGUCAGACUUUGUGACGGCAGCGCCUGGACUGAAGAUUUGAAGAUUUCAAAAUCCAAGUCUUAUGGUCUUCGCCAAAAAGAUGAACUGCUAGACAUUUUUGAAUCGAGACGAAAUGACGAGUGAUUUGGAAGAAAAAUGUUUGCAACACAUCAAUUCCAGAGGUGCACCUUCAGUUUGCAAGACCACAAUAGACAAACAAUGGAAAAUGCUCUAGAGUGCUGUGACAGAUUAAACUGACACCCUUGAUGAGGACACAGUCAAAGCUUUAAAAGACCGUGUGAUAAAGCAGUCUUCAAUUACAACAGUGUCUGAAUUGCAAGAAGAAGUGACCCUCCACUUCAACAUGUGACAUCUAAACUGUUUUGUGUUCUGGUUCAGCUAUUUACAGGUUUAUCUUAAGUUGGUUGAAUUGCAUAUUUUUUCAGUAACUUUUUAUGCAGAGAAUUACAUUAAGAUUAUUAUAUAAUCAUUGCUUAUGAAUAUUCAGUGAUUGCAUAUUCAUAGUGUACUUUUCAUUAAUACAUUUAAUGUUAAUGUUGUACAAUUUGAUAAAAGUAGCUCUGUAAUUGCAUUUCUCUGAUAUUUGUUUUAAAUUGUUUCUCUCUGGUCAAGAGAUUAUGUAUGUCUCUGGGCUUAAUUCAUUUACUUGAGAUAUUUUUGUAAUGUACACAACACAAUAUGAAGU